RNAcentral lists this ribosomal RNA (433 nucleotides) under uncultured bacterium. Its description in RNAcentral is "partial 16S ribosomal RNA". It matches the Rfam family "Bacterial small subunit ribosomal RNA", at positions 29 to 507 of the family's 1533-position model. The record is from RNAcentral.
AACGAACGCUGGCGGCAUGCCUAACACAUGCAAGUCGAACGAGACCUUCGGGUCUAGUGGCGCACGGGUGCGUAACGCGUGGGAACCUGCCCUUAGGUUCGGAAUAACACCCCGAAAGGGGUGCUAAUACCGGAUAAUGUAUUCGGAUCAAAGAUUUAUCGCCUUUGGAUGGGCCCGCGUUGGACUAGCUAGUUGGUAGGGUAAAAGCCUACCAAGGCGACGUUCCAUAGCUGGUCUGAGAGGAUGAGCCGCCACACUGGGACUGAGACACGGCCCAGACUCCUACGGGAGGCAGCAGUGGGGAAUAUUGGACAAUGGGCGAAAGCCUGAUCCAGCAAUGCCGCGUGAGUGAUGAAGUCCUUAGGGUUGUAAAGCUCUUUUACCCGGGAUGAUAAUGACAGUACCGGGAGAAUAAGCUCCGGCUAACUCCGUG